Molecule: ribosomal RNA, 492 nt
Filed under: uncultured bacterium
Lineage: Bacteria
Description: partial 16S ribosomal RNA
Rfam family: Bacterial small subunit ribosomal RNA
Source: RNAcentral
ACGAACGCUGGCGGCGUGCUUAACACAUGCAAGUCGAACGGUGAAGGGACCGGUUUUUGCUGGUUCUGGAUGAGUGGCGAACGGGUGAGUAACACGUGAGUAACCUGCCCCCUUCUUCUGGAUAACCGCAUGAAAGUGUGGCUAAUACGGGAUAUUCUGCGCCUGCUGCAUGGUGGGUGUGGGAAAGAUAUUGUUUCGGUGGGGGAUGGGCUCGCGGCCUAUCAGCUUGUUGGUGGGGUGAUGGCCUACCAAGGCGGUGACGGGUAGCCGGCCUGAGAGGGUGGACGGUCACACUGGGACUGAGACACGGCACAGACUCCUACGGGAGGCAGCAGUGGGGAAUAUUGCACAAUGGGCGCAAGCCUGAUGCAGCGACGCCGCGUGAGGGAUGGAGGCCUUCGGGUUGUAAACCUCUUUCGCCAGUGAAGCAGGCCUGUCCCUUUUGUGGGUGGGUUGACGGUAGCUGGAGAAGAAGCGCCGGCUAACUACGUG